AUUGAACGCUGGCGGCAGGCCUAACACAUGCAAGUCGAGCGAGCGGCGGACGGGUGAGUAAUGUCUGGGAAACUGCCUGAUGGAGGGGGAUAACUACUGGAAACGGUAGCUAAUACCGCAUACCAUCAGAUGUGCCCAGAUGGGAUUAGCUAGUAGGUGGGGUAACGGCUCACCUAGGCGACGAUCCCUAGCUGGUCUGAGAGGAUGACCAGCCACACUGGAACUGAGGCACGGUCCAGACUGCUACGGUAGGCAGCAGUGGGGAAUAUUGCACAAUGGGCGGAAGCGUGAUGCAGCGACGCCGCGUGGGGGAUGAAGGCCUUCGGGUUGUAAACUCCUUUCGACAGGGACGCGGUACCUGUAUAAGAAGCACCGGCUAACUACGUGCCAGCCGCCGCGGUAAUUC
RNAcentral lists this ribosomal RNA (406 nucleotides) under uncultured bacterium. Its description in RNAcentral is "partial 16S ribosomal RNA". It matches the Rfam family "Bacterial small subunit ribosomal RNA", at positions 30 to 526 of the family's 1533-position model. The record is from RNAcentral.